GAUGAACGCUCGCGGCAGGCCUAAUACAUGCAAGUCGAACGAGAUUAAGAGGCUUGCUUCUUAUGAAAGAGGCGCACGGGUGCGUAACGCGUAUGCAACCUACCUUAAUCAGGGGGAUAGCCCGAAGAAAUUCGGAUUAAGACCGCAUAAAAACACAGGAUAGCAUUAUCCAAUGUUCAAAUAUUUAUAGGAUUAAGAUGGGCAUGCGUGUCAUUAGCUAGUUGGCGGGGUAACGGCCCACCAAGGCGACGAUGACUAGGGGAUCUGAGAGGAUGACCCCCCACACUGGUACUGAGAAACGGACCAGACUCCUACGGGAGGCAGCAGUAAGGAAUAUUGGUCAAUGGAGGGAACUCUGAACCAGCCAUGCCGCGUGCAGGAAGACAGCCCUCUGGGUCGUAAACUGCUUUUAUUCGGGAAUAAACCUUUCUACGUGUAGGAAGCUGAAUGUACCGAAGGAAUAAGGAUCGGCUAACUCCGUG
Molecule: ribosomal RNA, 482 nt
Filed under: uncultured bacterium
Lineage: Bacteria
Description: partial 16S ribosomal RNA
Rfam family: Bacterial small subunit ribosomal RNA
Source: RNAcentral